UAGCAGAGUAGCCAUGAGUGCAG
This 23-nucleotide non-coding RNA is filed under the name Mus musculus (house mouse). The record is from RNAcentral. Lineage: Eukaryota; Metazoa; Chordata; Mammalia; Rodentia; Muridae.